AGACUCACUUUGGUGGGCUUGUCUUCUUGGUUUCCUCACUCCUGGUGCUAAUCAGAGUUGAUGAGACAGGAAGAAAGAAAGUGGCAAGGACUGCUAAAUCUGAAUCUCUCCUGUGAAGCUUGGAGGAGCACUGAAGUUAUUUUAAACAAGGUUUCUCAGCCUAAAUCCUCUGCUUGAGGAGAGUGGGCCUGGAGGGGAAUGAAGAGGGAGGAAGGAAAUAUGUUUCUUCUUCAGGAGAAUUGCUAGCUGCUCGUAAAUUUUAAGGGAAGUUAUUAUUUUCAGCAUGAACACUUGAUCGUCAGAAGAAUGAAUGAGACCUCUUAACAAACCCUUGCUCUUUUGUAUUUCAAAGAACUGUGCAAAAGUUUCACUAUUUUGGAGUUGGGAAAACAGCAGAGAAAGGUGAAGAGCUUGUCUAGAGCAUCGCAACAGGUCCAAAGUACCGUAUUCUGUACCCUUCCCAUAGCCUGGUGCAUCCCAACAUCACUGUGUUGGAGCUGCAUUUUAUGCAUGUUGUAUCCUUUGACGUGUCACAGAGAUCUGCAGGAUGAGAGAACACCUUGCA
Long non-coding RNA from Columba livia (rock pigeon), 565 nucleotides. RefSeq lists it as uncharacterized. The transcript is spliced from 4 exons. The record is from RefSeq and is a predicted model, not a curated record. NCBI's taxonomy places the organism in Eukaryota, Metazoa, Chordata, Aves, Columbiformes, Columbidae.